AACAAGCAGUUAGAGGUACACACACUGGUGCAACAACAGAGCUUGCUAAUGAGUUUCAAUCGAUUUUAAUUAAUUAGAAAUUAACUCCUUUUAAAAAGCUCAAUUUUUUAUGUUGCAUAGUCCGAAAGAAAAUAGUGCACACAUUUUUUUGAUAGAACAAACCUCAUCUGCACAUCAUUUCGUCAAGAUGUUUUUAAAGUAUUUCAUCACGAUCUCUGUGGCUAUUUCAGCUCAGCUCUGCUUUACCUACCUGCCUCAGGUUCAGGGAGAAUUCUUUCCAGGUUGCAUCAAACAUGGAAUUUACUACGGCCAUGGC
Physella acuta is the source of this 316-nucleotide long non-coding RNA. RefSeq lists it as uncharacterized. The record is from RefSeq and is a predicted model, not a curated record. NCBI's taxonomy places the organism in Eukaryota, Metazoa, Mollusca, Gastropoda, Physidae.